Molecule: ribosomal RNA, 251 nt
Filed under: uncultured prokaryote
Description: partial 16S rRNA
Rfam family: Bacterial small subunit ribosomal RNA
Source: RNAcentral
ACGUAGGUGGCGAGCGUUGUUCGGAUUUAUUGGGCGUAAAGGGUCCGCAGGGGGUUGAUUAAGUCUGACGUGAAAUCUCUGAGCUCAACUCAGAAAAUGCGUUGGAGACUGGUUGACUAGAGUGUUGGAGAGGUAAUUGGAAUUCCAGGUGUAGCGGUGGAAUGCGUAGAUAUCUGGAAGAACAUCGAAAGCGAAGGCAGAUUACUGGACAACAACUGACCCUCAGGGACGAAAGCAUGGGGAGCAAACAG